GAUGAACGCUAGCUACAGGCUUAACACAUGCAAGUCGAGGGGAAACGGCAUCGAAAGCUUGCUUUUGAUGGGCGUCGACCGGCGCACGGGUGAGUAACGCGUAUCCAACCUGCCCAUCACUUGGGAAUAACCUUGCGAAAGUAAGACUAAUGCCCAAUGACAUCCCACGAAGGCAUCCGAAUGGGAUUAAAGAUUUAUCGGUGAUGGAUGGGGAUGCGUCUGAUUAGCUUGUUGGCGGGGUGACGGCCCACCAAGGCAACGAUCAGUAGGGGUUCUGAGAGGAAGGUCCACCACAUUGGAACUGAGACACGGUCCAAACUCCUACGGGAGGCAGCAGUGAGGAAUAUUGGUCAAUGGGCGAGAGCCUGAACCAGCCAAGUAGCGUGCAGGAGGACGGCCCUAUGGGUUGUAAACUGCUUUUAUAAGGGAAUAAAGUGGGUCACGUGUGACUUUUUGCAUGUACCUUAUGAAUAAGGACCGGCUAAUUCCGUG
This 492-nucleotide ribosomal RNA is filed under the name uncultured bacterium. RNAcentral describes it as "partial 16S ribosomal RNA". It matches the Rfam family "Bacterial small subunit ribosomal RNA", at positions 28 to 507 of the family's 1533-position model. The record is from RNAcentral.